GAUGAACGCUGGCGGCGUGCCUAAUACAUGCAAGUCGAGCGAACGGACGAGAAGCUUGCUUCUCUGAUGUUAGCGGCGGACGGGUGAGUAACACGUGGAUAACCUACCUAUAAGACUGGGAUAACUUCGGGAAACCGGAGCUAAUACCGGAUGAUAUUUUGAACCGCAUGGUUCAAAAGUGAAAGACGGUCUUGCUGUCACUUAUAGAUGGAUCCGCGCGGCAUUAGCUAGUUGGUAAGGUAACGGCUUACCAAGGCAACGAUGCAUAGCCGACCUGAGAGGGUGAUCGGCCACACUGGAACUGAGACACGGUCCAGACUCCUACGGGAGGCAGCAGUAGGGAAUCUUCCGCAAUGGGCGAAAGCCUGACGGAGCAACGCCGCGUGAGUGAUGAAGGUCUUCGGAUCGUAAAACUCUGCUAUUAGGGAAGAACAUAUGUGUAAGUAACUGUGCACAUCUUGACGGUACCUAAUCAGAAAGCCACGGCUAACUACGUG
RNAcentral lists this ribosomal RNA (497 nucleotides) under uncultured bacterium. RNAcentral's name for it is "partial 16S ribosomal RNA". It matches the Rfam family "Bacterial small subunit ribosomal RNA", at positions 28 to 507 of the family's 1533-position model. The record is from RNAcentral.